This 465-nucleotide ribosomal RNA is filed under the name uncultured Klebsiella sp. Its description in RNAcentral is "bacterial SSU rRNA". It matches the Rfam family "Bacterial small subunit ribosomal RNA", at positions 338 to 795 of the family's 1533-position model. Lineage: Bacteria; Pseudomonadati; Pseudomonadota; Gammaproteobacteria; Enterobacterales; Enterobacteriaceae. The record is from RNAcentral.
CCUACGGGUGGCUGCAGUGGGGAAUAUUGCACAAUGGGCGCAAGCCUGAUGCAGCCAUGCCGCGUGUGUGAAGAAGGCCUUCGGGUUGUAAAGCACUUUCAGCGUGGAGGAAGGCGGUGAGGUUAAUAACCUCAUCGAUUGACGUUACCCGCAGAAGAAGCACCGGCUAACUCCGUGCCAGCAGCCGCGGUAAUACGGAGGGUGCAAGCGUUAAUCGGAAUUACUGGGCGUAAAGCGCACGCAGGCGGUCUGUCAAGUCGGAUGUGAAAUCCCCGGGCUCAACCUGGGAACUGCAUUCGAAACUGGCAGGCUAGAGUCUUGUAGAGGGGGGUAGAAUUCCAGGUGUAGCGGUGAAUUGCGUAGAGAUCUGGAGGAAUACCGGUGGCGAAGGCGGCCCCCUGGACAAAGACUGACGCUCAGGUGCGAAAGCGUGGGGAGCAAACAGGAUUAGAUACCCGUGUAGUC